This 406-nucleotide ribosomal RNA is filed under the name uncultured bacterium. RNAcentral's name for it is "partial 16S ribosomal RNA". It matches the Rfam family "Bacterial small subunit ribosomal RNA", at positions 30 to 526 of the family's 1533-position model. The record is from RNAcentral.
AUUGAACGCUGGCGGCAGGCUUAACACAUGCAAGUCGAGCGAGCGGCGGACGGGUGAGUAAUGUCUGGGAAACUGCCUGAUGAGGGGGGAUAACUACUGGAAACGGUAGCUAAUACCGCAUACCAUCAGGUGAGCCCAGAUGGGAUUAGCUAGUAGGUGGGGUAAUGGCUCACCGAGGCGACGAUCCCUAGCUGGUCUGAGAGGAUGACCAGCCACACUGGAACUGAGACACGGUCCAGACUCCUACGGGAGUCAGCAGUGGGGAAUAUUGCACAAUGGGCGCAAGCCUGAGGCAGACAUGCCGCGUGUGUGAAGAAGGCCUUCGGGUUGUAAAGUACUUUCAGCGAGGAGGCGUUACUCGCAGAAGAAGCACCGGCUAACUCCGUGCCAACAGCCGCGGUAAUAC